AAUCCAGCUGUCCCCAGGCCCUGCCGCAUCCACCUUCAACCCUUCCCACCUGUGUGUCCUUCUUGGUGUGCAUGGCCCACACCCAGGAAUUGUCAAUUGACAAUGUGUCUAAUUCACCUCUCAGUUUAGGCCUCUGUCAUUUCUGGCUUGGACUAAAGUAGCUGCCUCCUAAAAGCUUUCCUUGCCUUUGAUGAUCCAACCUUAACAUUGUCAAGGGCAAACAAACAAAUUAAUACAUUUUGAGGUCAAAAUAUAUUUUGGACCUGGAAAACUUUAGAAAUCACAGCAGUGCAGGCCGAGUAGAUCCAAGUCUCUGAAGUGGAAGCAGGCGCGGGGUUUUGAAAGCUCCCUCAGAGAUCCCUGUGUGCGGCAAGGCUGAGGACCUGUGCUUGGAGCUGUCAGCACAGCCUGCCUGCUGCCCCAGCCCCCAGGACCUCAUGUACUUAGUUGCUGCUGACAAAAAAAGCAAAAAAACAAAACAAAACUAAACAAAACAAAAAAACCCAACCAAACAAACAAACCAGGCUUAUGCCCGUUGUCUCAACUAUUCAGGAGGCUGAGGUAGGAGCAUGGUUUGAGCCCAAGAGUUGGAGGCUUCAGUGAGCUGUGAUCAUGCCAUUGCACUUCAGCCUGGGCUACACAGCAAGACCUUGUCUCUAAGAUGAUGAUGAUAAUAAUAAUAAUAAUAAUAAUAAUAAUAAUAAUAAUAAUAAUAAAACAAAUUAACAAAACACCAAACAGAUCCUGACAUUCUACUUAAAAAAAAAAAAUCCCCCAUGCUCUCCAUGACCCCAAGGAUAAGGGGGGACCCAGCUCAGCCUGUCUCCCCUGCACACACACCCAGAGCCCCCACAGCUCGUGUCAUCAGCAUGGUCCACCUCUGUGCCAUCACCUGUGCUGUUGACUCUGUGCACAGGCCUCCAGGUCCCCCUUGAAUGCCACCUCCUCUGGGAGUCCCUCCCCAAGUCUCCAGGGCAGAGUUAAUCCAUCUUUCCUCUGUUCUCCCACACACCUUAUUCAAAUGCCCGAGAGCCCUGUUUCACCCUGGCCUUUCCCUUCCUGGCUGCAAAGUCCUUGCCUGGUGCAUGGAAAGGAUGAAGGGCGGAGCUUGAGUGAGGGACUGGAGGACCAGAUGGAGAAUGCCAAGCCCCCUUUGAACUUGAGAUCUCAUUUCUACAGACCAGUCAACUCUGCCCAAGGCAGUGCUAAUGAACUCUGGCCACACCCCAGAACUACCUGGAAAACUUUAAAAAUCAGAGCAGCGCAGGCCAAGUAGAUCCAAGUCUCUGAGGUGGGACCAGGCUCAGGGUUUUGAAAGCUCCCCCAGAGCUCCCAGUGUGCAGCAAGGCUCCUCAUGUACGUAGCUGCUGCUGACAUGUUUAAUUUCAUUGAUUGAUUUACAUUUAUUUCAAUAGCUUUUGGGGUACAGGUGGGUUUUGGUUACAUGGAUGAAUUGUACAGUGGUGAAGUCUGAGAUUUUAGUGCAGCUAUCACCCAAAUAGUGUACAUCAUACCCAAUAUGUAGUUUUUUAUCCCUCCCCUCCAUCUCCUCCUUCUUCUGAGUCUCCAAUGUUCAUUAUGUCACUGUAUGCCCCUGUGUACCCAUCGCUUAGCUCCCACUUACAAGUGAGAAUAUGCGGCAUUUGGUUUUCCAUUCCUGAGUUACUUCACUUAGAAUAAUGGCCUCCAGCUCCAUCUAAGUUGCUGCAAAAGACAUUACUUCAUUCAUUUUUAUGGCUGAGUAGUAUUCCAUGGUGUAUAUACACCACAUUUUCCUUAUCCACCAUUGGCCAUUGAGCACUUAGGUGGGUCCCAUAACUUUACAAUGGUGAAUUGUGCUGUGGGUGCUUUUGACCAGGGAUCGAUGGUGAACAUGCACUGCACGUUUGUGUGCAUUUGUGUCUUUAAGUGUGAAGGAGUGGUGUGGGACGAGGAAUGGGGACCACACCUGCAGUUAGGAAACCUGCAUUCUAGACCUGGCUGUGUGAACAAGGGCAGGAAAGAUGAACUCCUCUUGCAGGAAAUCUGUGUUAGAUCCAAGAAGGCAGGAGGACACGUAGGGGACUGUGCUAUUGGAAAGGAGCUCUGAUUUUGUCUGUUUGGCAUGUCUUCCUUGAGGGGGCCUGAGCCCACUCUCCAUAGUGUGUAUGUUCCCAUUGGCUUCGGGUGGGGCUUUCUUUGUUCUAGUGAACAAAGUUCGAGUGAACCCAGGGUGGGCCUGUGACCUAGACUUGGACAAGAAUGGGCACACCACCUAAAGAGCUUAACUUAACUUUGGGCAGAAAAAGAGGGUAAACAAGGAACAAAAGGUUGUUGUAAGAAAUUGAGGGCUACCUCCAAGUUUGGGGCCUAAUAAAAAACUGUCCCUGUUCGAAGGGGAGGACUCGGCCCCAUGUGGUUGAAGUGGAGAACAGCUGGGACCUCCCAGGGCCUGGGGCCUUCUAGG
Molecule: long non-coding RNA, 2446 nt
Filed under: Pan troglodytes (chimpanzee)
Lineage: Eukaryota; Metazoa; Chordata; Mammalia; Primates; Hominidae
Description: long non-coding RNA NONPTRT001702
Source: RNAcentral